This 333-nucleotide ribosomal RNA is filed under the name Triticum aestivum (bread wheat). Its description in RNAcentral is "partial small subunit ribosomal RNA". Lineage: Eukaryota; Viridiplantae; Streptophyta; Magnoliopsida; Poales; Poaceae. The record is from RNAcentral.
AUGCGCCGGCGGCCCCCUGUUUUUCAGGUUCUGAAGAAAUGUGGGCAUUUUGAGUGGCUCGAUGACUAUGUUGAAAGGUUGAAAUUGGAGGGAUCAACCGGAACCCAAGAGCUCAAUUUUGGGGGGCGGCUUGCCGUGGAACAAGCCCCCAAUUUGGCGGACAGAGCCGAUCCGAUGAUGCACAGUGCAGAACUGAAGUGUGAAUUGAAGAAAAUUGGCAAGCAACUAAAGCAUCUGAUCGAUUUGAAGAAGCAAGCAAAUAUGAUGGCUGGAGCAUUUUAUGGUUGUGUCAUUGCUAUGGGUUUAUUUUACUUGAUGUUCAUCAAUCGCUAG